UAUAAAGCUAUAACCAAGACUCAAUCUCAACGCGUCAGACAGGCAGCUCCGGCUGUCAGUCCGACCCUCCGUCACCCGCAGAAAGAGAGAGAGCGUCAGUCAGGGUUAUGAGCGUAACGUGAGCGGUUCAUAGGAGAUCCUACCCGGUCAUUGCCAUCUUUUUCAUUUAGGGCCAUUGAACAGGAAGUGCCCAUAUGGGACUGGGGAGGACGUAAGGACGCUGUUUACGUCAAUCAGUGUGUAGCCCCGCCCUAAAGCGCCGCCUGCUUUAUGGUCUGUUUGACUCUAGGAAGGUAGGAAGGGAAGUAAGGGAGGGAGGGAAGGAAGUGUGAAGGGAGGGAGGAAGGUAGGAAGGGAAGUGUGAAGGGAGGGAGGAAGGGAAGAAGGGAAGUAUGAAGGGAGGGAGGAAGGUAGGAAGGGAGGGAGGAAGGGAAGUGUGAAGGGAGGGAGGAAGGUAGGAAG
This is a long non-coding RNA of Gasterosteus aculeatus aculeatus (three-spined stickleback), 462 nucleotides long. The record is from Ensembl. Lineage: Eukaryota; Metazoa; Chordata; Actinopteri; Perciformes; Gasterosteidae.